AUGCAAGUCGAACGAUGAUCUCCCGCUUGCGGGGGUGAUUAGUGGCGAACGGGUGAGUAAUACGUGAGUAACCUGCCCUUGACUCUGGGAUAAGCCUGGGAAACCGGGUCUAAUACUGGAUACGACCCCCUGUCGCAUGGUGGGGGGUGGAAAGGGUUUGACUGGUUUUGGAUGGGCUCACGGCCUAUCAGCUUGUUGGUGGGGUAAUGGCUCACCAAGGCGACGACGGGUAGCCGGCCUGAGAGGGUGACCGGCCACACUGGGACUGAGACACGGCCCAGACUCCUACGGGAGGCAGCAGUGGGGAAUAUUGCACAAUGGGCGGAAGCCUGAUGCAGCGACGCCGCGUGAGGGAUGACGGCCUUCGGGUUGUAAACCUCUUUCAGCAGGGAAGAAGCCACAAGUGACGGUACCUGCAGAAGAAGCGCCGGCUAACUACGUGCCAGCAGCCGCGGUAAUACGUAGGGCGCAAGCGUUGUCCGGAAUUAUUGGGCGUAAAGAGCUCGUAGGCGGUUUGUCGCGUCUGCUGUGAAAGCCCGGGGCUCAACCCCGGGUCUGCAGUGGGUACGGGCAGACUAGAGUGCAGUAGGGGAGACUGGAAUUCCUGGUGUAGCGGUGAAAUGCGCAGAUAUCAGGAGGAACACCGAUGGCGAAGGCAGGUCUCUGGGCUGUUACUGACGCUGAGGAGCGAAAGCAUGGGGAGCGAACAGGAUUAGAUACCCUGGUAGUCCAUGCCGUAAACGUUGGGCACUAGGUGUGGGGGACAUUCCACGUUCUCCGCGCCGUAGCUAACGCAUUAAGUGCCCCGCCUGGGGAGUACGGCCGCAAGGCUAAAACUCAAAGGAAUUGACGGGGGCCCGCACAAGCGGCGGAGCAUGCGGACUAAUUCGAUGCAACGCGAAGAACCUU
RNAcentral lists this ribosomal RNA (909 nucleotides) under Kocuria sp. CBMAI 1113. RNAcentral's name for it is "bacterial SSU rRNA". It matches the Rfam family "Bacterial small subunit ribosomal RNA", at positions 55 to 972 of the family's 1533-position model. The record is from RNAcentral. Lineage: Bacteria; Bacillati; Actinomycetota; Actinomycetes; Micrococcales; Micrococcaceae.